RNAcentral lists this ribosomal RNA (815 nucleotides) under Pseudomonas sp. enrichment culture clone AM4. RNAcentral describes it as "bacterial SSU rRNA". It matches the Rfam family "Bacterial small subunit ribosomal RNA", at positions 114 to 925 of the family's 1533-position model. Lineage: Bacteria; Pseudomonadati; Pseudomonadota; Gammaproteobacteria; Pseudomonadales; Pseudomonadaceae. The record is from RNAcentral.
UGCCUAGGAAUCUGCCUAGUGGUGGGGCGAUACGUUCGGAAACGGACGCUAAUACCGCAUACGUCCUACGGGAGAAAGCGGGGGAUCUUCGGACCUCGCGCCAUUAGAUGAGCCUAGGUCGGAUUAGCUAGUUGGUGAGGUAAUGGCUCACCAAGGCGACGAUCCGUAACUGGUCUGAGAGGAUGAUCAGUCACACUGGAACUGAGACACGGUCCAGACUCCUACGGGAGGCAGCAGUGGGGAAUAUUGGACAAUGGGCGAAAGCCUGAUCCAGCCAUGCCGCGUGUGUGAAGAAGGUCUUCGGAUUGUAAAGCACUUUAAGUUGGGAGGAAGGGCAGUAACCUAAUACGUUAUUGUUUUGACGUUACCGACAGAAUAAGCACCGGCUAACUUCGUGCCAGCAGCCGCGGUAAUACGAAGGGUGCAAGCGUUAAUCGGAAUUACUGGGCGUAAAGCGCGCGUAGGUGGUUCAGUAAGUUGGAAGUGAAAUCCCCGGGCUCAACCUGGGAACUGCUUUCAAAACUGCUGAGCUAGAGUACGGUAGAGGGUGGUGGAAUUUCCUGUGUAGCGGUGAAAUGCGUAGAUAUAGGAAGGAACACCAGUGGCGAAGGCGACCACCUGGACUGAUACUGACACUGAGGUGCGAAAGCGUGGGGAGCAAACAGGAUUAGAUACCCUGGUAGUCCACGCCGUAAACGAUGUCAACUAGCCGUUGGAAUCCUUGAGAUUUUAGUGGCGCAGCUAACGCAUUUAGUUGACCGCCUGGGGAGUACGGCCGCAAGGUUAAAACUCAAAUGAAUUGACGGGGGCCCGCA